This 253-nucleotide ribosomal RNA is filed under the name uncultured bacterium. RNAcentral's name for it is "partial 16S ribosomal RNA". It matches the Rfam family "Bacterial small subunit ribosomal RNA", at positions 524 to 776 of the family's 1533-position model. The record is from RNAcentral.
UACGUAGGGUGCAAGCGUUAAUCGGAAUUACUGGGCGUAAAGCGUGCGCAGGCGGUUCGUUAAGUCAGAUGUGAAAGCCCCGAGCUCAACUUGGGAACUGCAUUUGAAACUGGCGGGCUGGAGUGUGGCAGAGGGGGGUGGAAUUCCACGUGUAGCAGUGAAAUGCGUAGAGAUGUGGAGGAACACCGAUGGCGAAGGCAGCCCCCUGGGCCAACACUGACGCUCAGGCACGAAAGCGUGGGGAGCAAACAGG